RNAcentral lists this ribosomal RNA (467 nucleotides) under uncultured bacterium. RNAcentral describes it as "bacterial SSU rRNA". It matches the Rfam family "Bacterial small subunit ribosomal RNA", at positions 328 to 793 of the family's 1533-position model. The record is from RNAcentral.
CGCUAUCACUCCUACGGGGAGCAGCAGUAGGAAUCUUCACAUGGACAAGUCUGAUGGAGCAACGCCGCGUGAACGAUGAAGGCCUUCGGGUCGUAAAGUUCUGUUGUAAGGGAAGAACAAGUGCCGCAGGCAAUGGCGGCACCUUGACGGUACCUUGCGAGAAAGCCACGGCUAACUACGUGCCAGCAGCCGCGGUAAUACGUAGGUGGCAAGCGUUGUCCGGAAUUAUUGGGCGUAAAGCGCGCGCAGGCGGCCUCUUAAGUCUGAUGUGAAAGCCCCGGCUCAACCGGGGAGGGCCAUUGGAAACUGGGAGGCUUGAGUAUAGGAGAGAAGAGUGGAAUUCCACGUGUAGCGGUGAAAUGCGUAGAGAUGUGGAGGAACACCAGUGGCGAAGGCGACUCUUUGGCCUAUAACUGACGCUGAGGCGCGAAAGCGUGGGGAGCAAACAGGAUUAGAUACCCUGGUAG